GAUGAACGCUAGCUACAGGCUUAACACAUGCAAGUCGAGGGGAAACGACAUCGAAAGCUUGCUUUUGAUGGGCGUCGACCGGCGCACGGGUGAGUAACGCGUAUCCAACCUGCCCACCACUUGGGGAUAACCUUGCGAAAGUAAGACUAAUACCCAAUGAUAUCUCUAGAAGACAUCUGAAAGAGAUUAAAGAUUUAUCGGUGAUGGAUGGGGAUGCGUCUGAUUAGCUUGUUGGCGGGGUAACGGCCCACCAAGGCAACGAUCAGUAGGGGUCCUGAGAGGAAGGUCCCCCACAUUGGAACUGAGACACGGUCCAAACUCCUACGGGAGGCAGCAGUGAGGAAUAUUGGUCAAUGGACGAGAGUCUGAACCAGCCAAGUAGCGUGCAGGAAGACGGCCCUAUGGGUUGUAAACUGCUUUUAUAAGGGAAUAAAGUGAGUCUCGUGAGACUUUUUGCAUGUACCUUAUGAAUAAGGACCGGCUAAUUCCGUG
This 492-nucleotide ribosomal RNA is filed under the name uncultured bacterium. RNAcentral describes it as "partial 16S ribosomal RNA". It matches the Rfam family "Bacterial small subunit ribosomal RNA", at positions 28 to 507 of the family's 1533-position model. The record is from RNAcentral.